Molecule: ribosomal RNA, 292 nt
Filed under: uncultured bacterium
Lineage: Bacteria
Description: partial 16S ribosomal RNA
Rfam family: Bacterial small subunit ribosomal RNA
Source: RNAcentral
GUGUCAGCAGCCGCGGUAAGACGAACUGUGCGAACGUUAUUCGGAAUCACUGGGCUUACAGGGUGCGUAGGCUGCCUGUUAAGUAGGGUGUGAAAUCCCCCGGCCCAACCGGGGAAUGGCGCUCUAAACUGGCAGGCUUGAGUGAGCUAGGGGUGCAUGGAACUUCCAGUGGAGCGGUGAAAUGUGUUGAUAUUGGAAGGAACACCGGAGGCGAAAGCGAUGCACUGGGGCUUAACUGACGCUGAGGCACGAAAGCCAGGGUAGCGAACGGGAUUAGAAACCCCCGUAGUCC